UCAGGAUCCUGUGCGCUUAAACAUACGUUUCUACCCAUUAUGCUAGACUGACCCAUUUAAAGAGUACAGAAAUCGAAUACAAUUUUCAAUAAUAACACAAUGCAGUAAGAUGAAUAUUACUUGUUGUUGAGCUUUCAGACUAAUGCCAGUCAUAAAAUAUAUUUAUUAAAAUAUUAAUUUGACACGUAUGAAAUUUCAAUAAUAACCAACAACAGAAAUUUAUCAAGAACUUGCCUUUCAGCUGUUUGUGGGGUUUUCCGCAGCCGCCGCUUCAUACGCGAUGUUCCCGUGACGUUCUCGUAAGUAAUGACGCGGUCCCUAAGGUAUAACUGGAUCAUCCGGCUGAUGUACGGAGUCACCCGAAAUGCGUCUAGCUUUCCGAGGAUGUGUGGCCAUCACACUGAGUUGGACGCGUUUCGGAUGUCCAGACACAUUGCCGCUCCGGCGGCCAGAUUGAGUUCGAGCCGAGUGACCAAGUGCCUCUCGUGGAUCUUCCUCAGAUAGUCUAACAUAC
This is a long non-coding RNA of Daktulosphaira vitifoliae (grape phylloxera), 514 nucleotides long. RefSeq lists it as uncharacterized. The transcript is spliced from 3 exons. NCBI's taxonomy places the organism in Eukaryota, Metazoa, Arthropoda, Insecta, Hemiptera, Phylloxeridae. The record is from RefSeq and is a predicted model, not a curated record.